Molecule: ribosomal RNA, 425 nt
Filed under: uncultured bacterium
Lineage: Bacteria
Description: partial 16S ribosomal RNA
Rfam family: Bacterial small subunit ribosomal RNA
Source: RNAcentral
GUUAGGAAUAUUGGACAAUGGGCGCAAGCCUGAUCCAGCCAUGCCGCGUGAGUGAUGAAGGCCUUCGGGUUGUAAAGCUCUUUAGCCGAUGAUUAUAAUGACUGUAGUCGGAAAAUAAGCCCCGGCUAACUUCGUGCCAGCAGCCGCGGUAAUACGAAGGGGGCGAGCGUUAUUCGGAAUCACUGGGCGUAAAGCGUGCGUAGGCGGCUUUGCAAGUUGGGAGUGAAAGCCCAGGGCUCAACCCUGGAAUUGCUCUCAAAACUGCAAGGCUCGAAUUCGGGAGAGGAUAGCGGAAUUGUCAGUGUAGCAGUGAAAUGCGUAGAUAUUGACAGGAACACCAGUAGCGUAAGCGGCUAUCUGGACCGAUAUUGACGCUGAGGCACGAAAGCGUGGGGAUCAAACAGGAUUAGAAACCCUUGUAGUCC